UACCUUGUAGCUCAGUUGGAAGAGCAUUGGACUAGCAAACCAAAGGUCAUGGGUUCGAUUCCCACCGUGGUCA
This 73-nucleotide transfer RNA is filed under the name Dendronephthya gigantea. RNAcentral's name for it is "tRNA-Ala". It matches the Rfam family "tRNA". From Rfam's summary of the family: Transfer RNA (tRNA) molecules are approximately 80 nucleotides in length. Lineage: Eukaryota; Metazoa; Cnidaria; Anthozoa; Malacalcyonacea; Nephtheidae. The record is from RNAcentral.